This 446-nucleotide ribosomal RNA is filed under the name uncultured bacterium. RNAcentral's name for it is "partial 16S ribosomal RNA". It matches the Rfam family "Bacterial small subunit ribosomal RNA", at positions 338 to 795 of the family's 1533-position model. The record is from RNAcentral.
CCUACGGGAGGCAGCAGUCGAGAAUCAUUCACAAUGGGGGAAACCCUGAUGGUGCGACGCCGCGUGGGGGAAUGAAGGUCUUCGGAUUGUAAACCCCUGUCAUGUGGGAGCAAAUUAAAAAGAUAGUACCACAAGAGGAAGAGACGGCUAACUCUGUGCCAGCAGCCGCGGUAAUACAGAGGUCUCAAGCGUUGUUCGGAAUCACUGGGCGUAAAGCGUGCGUAGGCUGUUUCGUAAGUCGUGUGUGAAAGGCCCGGGCUCAACCCGCGGACGGCACAUGAUACUGGGAGACUAGAGUAAUGGAGGGGGAAGCGGAAUUCGCGGUGUAGCAGUGAAAUGCGUAGAGAUCGAGAGGAACACUCGUGGCGAAGGCGGGUUCCUGGACAUUAACUGACGCUGAGGCACGAAGGCCAGGGGAGCGAAAGGGAUUAGAUACCCCUGUAGUC